Small nucleolar RNA from Echinops telfairi (small Madagascar hedgehog), 133 nucleotides. Its record names the gene SNORA70. It matches the Rfam family "Small nucleolar RNA SNORA70". Rfam says of the family: snoRNA U70 seems to be exclusive to mammals and is a member of the H/ACA class of snoRNA which contain H (ANANNA) and ACA box motifs. H/ACA box snoRNAs are involved in the conversion of uridines to pseudouridines (5-ribosyluracil) a constituent of structural RNAs (transfer, ribosomal, small nuclear, and small nucleolar). The record is from Ensembl. NCBI's taxonomy places the organism in Eukaryota, Metazoa, Chordata, Mammalia, Afrosoricida, Tenrecidae.
CUGCAGCCAAUAAGCCAACUGUCCUCCCCCUUGUGGGGGCUACUGUGCAAUGGCUGCGAACAGGGAGCCGCCUCAGUAGCAUACGCAGUCUGUUAGUGUGGAUGGGCUGCCCAAAUGGACCUUGGAGACAACU